UACUAGAUGGCCACCGUAAGAAGCACU
RNAcentral lists this small RNA (27 nucleotides) under Bombyx mori (domestic silkworm). RNAcentral describes it as "ovarian small RNA-6159". Lineage: Eukaryota; Metazoa; Arthropoda; Insecta; Lepidoptera; Bombycidae. The record is from RNAcentral.